Molecule: long non-coding RNA, 387 nt
Organism: Melanotaenia boesemani (Boeseman's rainbowfish)
Lineage: Eukaryota; Metazoa; Chordata; Actinopteri; Atheriniformes; Melanotaeniidae
Exons: 3
Source: RefSeq, a predicted model, not a curated record
ACCUGCAGACAAGUCCACCAGUUACGACGGGGUUUAAAGGACACACAGAUCUGGCCUUUUCUGAAAGAGAGAACAGACACAGUUCCUCUUCUAUUUCCAAGAAUAUCUGAUAUACAGUUCACAGCACAGAUAAUCUUGGACAAGAUCAACUGGCCCACACACGAUGAUGAGGAAGACAUGGAAGUCUCCUUGGAGGAUACUUGUAGGGUCUCCGGAUUUCUCAGAACAUUUAUUGAGAAUGCCUCUUCCAAGCUGCUGGAGAAACUUGUGCAGUUCUGGGUGGGCUGGAAUGUACUUCCCAGAUACUUCGAUGUUGAAGUGAUUGAGAGUAGCUACCCCAAGUCUUCCACCUGCUUCCACACGCUAAAACUACCAAGACAUUACACU